RNAcentral lists this ribosomal RNA (440 nucleotides) under uncultured bacterium. RNAcentral describes it as "partial 16S ribosomal RNA". It matches the Rfam family "Bacterial small subunit ribosomal RNA", at positions 338 to 795 of the family's 1533-position model. The record is from RNAcentral.
CCUACGGGUGGCAGCAGUGGGGAAUAUUGCACAAUGGGGGAAACCCUGAUGCAGCGACGCCGCGUGAGUGAAGAAGUAAUUCGUUAUGUAAAGCUCUAUCAGCAGAGAAGAAAAUGACGGUACCUGAGUAAGAAGCCCCGUCUAACUACGUGCCAGCAGCCGCGGUAAGACGUAGGAGGCCAGCGUUAUCCGGAUUGACUGGGUGUAAAGGGAGCGUAGACGGCAGUGUAAGUCUGGAGUGAAAGGCGGGGGCUCAACCCCCGGACUGCGAUGGAAACUGUAAGGCUGGAGUGCAGGAGAGGUAAGCGGAAUUCGUAGUGUAGCGGUGAAAUGCGUAGAUAUUAGGAGGAACACCGGUGGCGAAGGCGGCUUACUGGACUGUAACUGACGUUGAGGCUCGAAAGCGUGGGGAGCAAACAGGAUUAGAUACCCGAGUAGUC